AGUGAACGCUGGCGGUAGGCCUAACACAUGCAAGUCGAACGGCAGCACAGUAAGAGCUUGCUCUUACGGGUGGCGAGUGGCGGACGGGUGAGGAAUACAUCGGAAUCUACUUUUUCGUGGGGGAUAACGUAGGGAAACUUAUGCUAAUACCGCAUACGACCUACGGGUGAAAGCAGGGGAUCUUCGGACCUUGCGCGAUUGAAUGAGCCGAUGUCGGAUUAGCUAGUUGGCGGGGUAGAGGCCCACCAAGGCGACGAUCCGUAGCUGGUCUGAGAGGAUGAUCAGCCACACUGGAACUGAGACACGGUCCAGACUCCUACGGGAGGCAGCAGUGGGGAAUAUUGGACAAUGGGCGCAAGCCUGAUCCAGCCAUACCGCGUGGGUGAAGAAGGCCUUCGGGUUGUAAAGCCCUUUUGUUGGGAAAGAAAAGCAGCAGGUUAACACCCCGCUGUUCUGACGGUACCCAAAGAAUAAGCACCGGCUAACUUCGUG
Molecule: ribosomal RNA, 492 nt
Filed under: uncultured bacterium
Lineage: Bacteria
Description: partial 16S ribosomal RNA
Rfam family: Bacterial small subunit ribosomal RNA
Source: RNAcentral